UCACUAAGUGAGCAAAAAAAGUAAAAUUUUAGAUCCAUUAAAAGUUAGCAAAGAACUCCAGAUGUUGGCAGCUUCCUUCCUUGGAUGUCUGAGUGA
RNAcentral lists this small nucleolar RNA (96 nucleotides) under Tursiops truncatus (common bottlenose dolphin). Its description in RNAcentral is "Small nucleolar RNA SNORD14 (ENSTTRG00000021869.1)". Lineage: Eukaryota; Metazoa; Chordata; Mammalia; Artiodactyla; Delphinidae. The record is from RNAcentral.